Molecule: ribosomal RNA, 682 nt
Filed under: Neocallimastix frontalis
Lineage: Eukaryota; Fungi; Neocallimastigomycota; Neocallimastigomycetes; Neocallimastigales; Neocallimastigaceae
Description: bacterial SSU rRNA
Rfam family: Eukaryotic small subunit ribosomal RNA (bases 1-310)
Source: RNAcentral
CAUCCUUGAUCGGGAGGUCCGGGUAAUCUUUUGAAACUUCAUCGUGCUGGGGAUAGUCCCUUGCAAUUUUUGGACUUAAACGAGGAAUUCCUAGUAAGCGUGAGUCAUCAACUCGCGUUGAUUACGUCCCUGCCCUUUGUACACACCGCCCGUCGCUACUACCGAUUGAAUGGCUUAGUGAAUCCUUCGGAUUGGCUAUUUUUUUCUGGCAACAGAAUUAAACUGCUAAAAAGUUGGGCAAACUUGGUCAUUUAGAGGAAGUAAAAGUCGUAACAAGGUUUCCGUAGGUGAACCUGCGGAAGGAUCAUUAAAAAAUAUCGCUCGAUUGAGAGUGAUUUAAUAAUCAUCCUACCCUUUGUGAAUUUUGUUGUUUGUAAUAAUUUUUUUUGAUUUUAAAAAAAAAUUAUUUAUGGUUUUGUCUAUCCCUAAAAUUGGUUUGUUGUGAAAUGAAUCAAAUUUAGGGAAUAGGCUUUCAUAAAUAAGUUUUUUUUAAAGUCUUAAAGACCUUUUUUAAAAUUAAACUUUUGUAUUCAUUUGUCUAAAUUUUUUUUAAAAUAAUUUAAAAACAACUUUUGACAAUGGAUCUCUUGGUUCUCGCAACGAUGAAGAACGCAGCAAAAUGCGAUAAGUAAUGUGAAUUGCAGAAUACGUGAAUCAUCAAAUCUUCGAACGCAUAUUGCAC